GCAUUGUAAUCUCAAGAAGUGUUUUCCGCUUCGGACCAUGCCUAAGUCCCUUGGAAAAGGGCAUCAUAGAGGGUGAUAAUCCCGUACAUGGCAUGGAGCGCCCGAAGCUUUGUGAUACGCUUUCUAAGAGUCGAGUUGUUUGGGAAUGCAGCUCAAAAUGGGUGGUAAAUGCCAUCUAAGGCUAAAUAUUGGGGAGAGACCGAUAGCGAACAAGUACAGUGAUGGAAAGAUGAAAAGAACUUUGAAAAGAGAGUUAAACAGUACGUGAAAUUGCCAAAAGGGAAGGGUAGGAGGUCAGAGAUGCGGCCUGGGAUUCAGCCUUGCUUUUGCUUGGUGUUUUUCCCAGAUUGCAGGCCAACGUCGGUUUUGGGCACUGGAGAAGGGUAGGAGGAACGUGGCACCUCUCGGGGUGUGUUAUAGCCUCCUACUGGAUACAGCGACCGAGACCGAGGACAGCAGCGUACUCGCAAGAGCGGGCCUUCGGGCACCUUUACGCUUAGGGCGUUGGCAUAAUGGCCCUCUACCAC
Molecule: ribosomal RNA, 527 nt
Filed under: Dirkmeia churashimaensis
Lineage: Eukaryota; Fungi; Basidiomycota; Ustilaginomycetes; Ustilaginales; Ustilaginaceae
Description: partial large subunit ribosomal RNA
Rfam family: Eukaryotic large subunit ribosomal RNA
Source: RNAcentral